AACGAACGCUGGCGGCAGGCUUAACACAUGCAAGUCGAACGCCCCGCAAGGGGAGUGGCGCACGGGUGAGUAACGCGUGGAUAUCUGCCUUUUGGUUCGGAAUAACCCCGGGAAACUGGGGCUAAUACCGGAUGGUUCCUACGGGAUAAAGAUUUAUCGCCAAAAGAUGAGUCCGCGUACGAUUAGCUAGUUGGUGAGGUAAUGGCUCACCAAGGCGACGAUCGUUAGCUGGUCUGAGAGGACGAUCAGCCACACUGGGACUGAGACACGGCCCAGACUCCUACGGGAGGCAGCAGUGGGGAAUAUUGGACAAGGGGGGCAACCCUGAUCCAGCCAUGCCGCGUGAGUGAUGAAGGCCUUCGGGUUGUAAAGCUCUUUUGGCGGGGACGAUGAUGACGGUACCCGCAGAAUAAGCCCCGGCUAACUUCGUG
This 431-nucleotide ribosomal RNA is filed under the name uncultured bacterium. RNAcentral's name for it is "partial 16S ribosomal RNA". It matches the Rfam family "Bacterial small subunit ribosomal RNA", at positions 29 to 507 of the family's 1533-position model. The record is from RNAcentral.